This 110-nucleotide ribosomal RNA is filed under the name Limosilactobacillus reuteri. Its description in RNAcentral is "partial 16S ribosomal RNA". Lineage: Bacteria; Bacillati; Bacillota; Bacilli; Lactobacillales; Lactobacillaceae. The record is from RNAcentral.
ACAUGCAAGUCGUACGCACUGGCCCAACUGAUUGAUGGUGCUUGCGCCUGAUUGACGAUGGAUCGCCAGUGAGUGGCGGACGGGUGAGUAACACGUAGGUAACCUGCCCC